This 484-nucleotide ribosomal RNA is filed under the name uncultured bacterium. RNAcentral describes it as "bacterial SSU rRNA". It matches the Rfam family "Bacterial small subunit ribosomal RNA", at positions 28 to 526 of the family's 1533-position model. The record is from RNAcentral.
GACGAACGCUGGCGGCGUGCUUAACACAUGCAAGUCGAACGGUGAUGCGCAGCUUGCUGCGCGGAUCAGUGGCGAACGGGUGAGUAACACGUGAGUAACCUGCCCUUGACUUCAGGAUAAGCGUUGGAAACGACGUCUAAUACUGGAUAUGACUUCUUCCGGCAUCGGGAGGGGUGGAAAGAAUUUCGGUUGAGGAUGGACUCGCGGCCUAUCAGCUUGUUGGUGGGGUGAUGGCCUACCAAGGCGACGACGGGUAGCCGGCCUGAGAGGGUGACCGGCCACACUGGGACUGAGACACGGCCCAGACUCCUACGGGAGGCAGCAGUGGGGAAUAUUGCACAAUGGGCGCAAGCCUGAUGCAGCAACGCCGCGUGAGGGAUGACGGCCUUCGGGUUGUAAACCUCUUUUAGCAGGGAAGAAGCGAAAGUGACGGUACCUGCAGAAAAAGCACCGGCUAACUACGUGCCAGCAGCCGCGGUAACAC